Molecule: ribosomal RNA, 666 nt
Filed under: uncultured bacterium
Lineage: Bacteria
Description: bacterial SSU rRNA
Rfam family: Bacterial small subunit ribosomal RNA
Source: RNAcentral
UCGGGUACUUUAGUGGCGAACGGGUGACUAAUACAUAGGUAACCUACCCUUAAGACGAGGAUAGCCAUUGGAAACGAUGGAUAAAACUGGAUAGGAUAUAGAGGAAGAAUCUUUUAUAUUUAAAAGAGAGAUCUGCUUAAGGAGGGGCCUGUGGCGCAUUAGCUAGUUGGUGGGGUAAGGGCCUACCAAGGCGAUGAUGCGUAGCCGGACUGAGAGGUUGAACGGCCACAAUGGAACUGAGAACGGUCCAUACUCCUACGGGAGGCAGCAGUAGGGAAUUUUCGGCAAUGGGGGGAACCCUGACCGAGCAACGCCGUGUGAACGAAGAAGUUAUUCGUAAUGUAAAGUUCUUUUAUCAGGGAAGAAAGAGGAAUUUGACGGUACCUGAGGAAUAAGCUCCGGCUAACUACGUGCCAGCAGCCGCGGUAAUACGUAGGGAGCGAGCGUUAUCCGGAAUUAUUGGGCGUAAAGGGUGCGUAGAUGGCAUAGUAAGUCUUUUGUAAAAAUGCUGGGCUCAACCCAGUAGGGCAAAAGAUACUGCAAAGCUAGAGUAUGACAGAGGCAAGUGGAACUACAUGUGUAGCGGUAAAAUGCGUAAAUAUAUGUAAGAACACCAGUGGCGAAGGCGGCUUGCUGGGUCGAUACUGACAUUGAGGCACGAAAGCG